This 263-nucleotide long non-coding RNA is filed under the name Monodelphis domestica (gray short-tailed opossum). RNAcentral describes it as "lncRNA (ENSMODG00000043080.1)". Lineage: Eukaryota; Metazoa; Chordata; Mammalia; Didelphimorphia; Didelphidae. The record is from RNAcentral.
AGUUUCUUUACCUAGGAGUUCCUUAUAUCAAAGAAGUCACCUAUUCUUAGAAUGAAGACUCCAAGUUCAACAUUGCUACAUCUAGCUUCUUCAAUAACCAAAGCCUACUAGCAACUGGUGAGAUUUUUCAAUAUCUCCUCAGGGAUCACUGAUGAUGGCUCAGAAAUCACAUCUACCAGUUCUUUUGGUUGUUCAUCUAGGCCAGGGUACUCAUCUACUCAGAUUUUUUUAAAGACACAGAAGGUGGAAGCAAGAACAAUUAA